This 1013-nucleotide ribosomal RNA is filed under the name Pseudoalteromonas shioyasakiensis. Its description in RNAcentral is "bacterial SSU rRNA". It matches the Rfam family "Bacterial small subunit ribosomal RNA", at positions 1 to 997 of the family's 1533-position model. Lineage: Bacteria; Pseudomonadati; Pseudomonadota; Gammaproteobacteria; Alteromonadales; Pseudoalteromonadaceae. The record is from RNAcentral.
UUUUUUUUUUUUUUUUUUUUUUUUUUUUGUUCUCCCUCGAUGACGCGGGGCAGCCUAAAACCUGCAAGUCGAGCGGUAACAAAGAGUAGCUUGCUACUCUCCUGACGAGCGGCGGACGGGUGAGUAAUGCUUGGGAAUAUGCCUUAUGGUGGGGGACAACAGUUGGAAACGACUGCUAAUACCGCAUGAUGUCUACGGACCAAAGUGGGGGACCUUCGGGCCUCACGCCAUAAGAUUAGCCCAAGUGGGAUUAGCUAGUUGGUGAGGUAAUGGCUCACCAAGGCGACGAUCCCUAGCUGGUUUGAGAGGAUGAUCAGCCACACUGGGACUGAGACACGGCCCAGACUCCUACGGGAGGCAGCAGUGGGGAAUAUUGCACAAUGGGCGCAAGCCUGAUGCAGCCAUGCCGCGUGUGUGAAGAAGGCCUUCGGGUUGUAAAGCACUUUCAGUAAGGAGGAAAGGUUAAGUGUUAAUAGCACUUAGCUGUGACGUUACUUACAGAAGAAGCACCGGCUAACUCCGUGCCAGCAGCCGCGGUAAUACGGAGGGUGCGAGCGUUAAUCGGAAUUACUGGGCGUAAAGCGUACGCAGGCGGUUUGUUAAGCGAGAUGUGAAAGCCCCGGGCUCAACCUGGGAACUGCAUUUCGAACUGGCAAACUAGAGUGUGAUAGAGGGUGGUAGAAUUUCAGGUGUAGCGGUGAAAUGCGUAGAGAUCUGAAGGAAUACCGAUGGCGAAGGCAUCCACUUGGGUCAACACUGAGGCUCAUGUACGACAGCGUGGGGAGCAAACGGGAUUAGAUACCCUGGUAGUCCACGCCGUCAACGAUGUCUACUAGAAGCUCGGGUCUUAGGACUUGUUUUUCAAUGGCAACGCAUGAGGUAGACCACAUGGGGAGUACGGCCGCAAGGUUAAUACUCAAAUGAAUUGACGGGGGCCCCCACCAGCGGUGGAGCAUGUGGUUUAAUUCGAUGCAACGCGAAGAACCUUACCUACACUUGACAUACAGAGAACU